CUUUCUUGUUGCCACUUUCUAACUGCUUUAGUGCUUGACUUGAUUUCCAAGGGACAUGACGAGGCCUUAAGUUGAUUAAUUGUGAAGGACAGACCUACAGAAUCAUAAUAUAGACAAUCUAUGCUUGGUGGCGCUGAGAAAGGAGAAAAUCCCUUGGAAAGAUUACCAAUAACUCCUCAGGUCUCCCUGAUGCUGAAGAAAACCUAUGUGUUCUGUUAUGAUGCAUCUAGAUUUAUUUCCAUUACCAUCGAAAAAUGUAUUUCAAAUUUUGGUUCAAUCCCUCAGCUGCUCUGUGUUUCCCCUCAGGCAUAUAGUACGCACUUUUAAAAAGCCACAUGUGAAACCAUGAUCUGGUGGUUGAU
Molecule: long non-coding RNA, 362 nt
Filed under: Crocodylus porosus (Australian saltwater crocodile)
Lineage: Eukaryota; Metazoa; Chordata; Crocodylia; Crocodylidae
Description: lncRNA (ENSCPRG00005005018.1)
Source: RNAcentral